UACGGAAGGCAGCAGUGGGGAAUAUUGGACAAUGGGCGAAAGCCUGAUCCAGCCAUGCCGCAUGAGUGAAGAAGGCCUUCGGGUUGUAAAGCUCUUUUAGUGAGAAAGAUAAUGACGGUACUCACAGAAGAAGUCCUGGCUAACUCCGUGCCAGCAGCCGCGGUAAUACGGAGAGGACUAGCGUUAUUCGGAAUUAUUGGGCGUAAAGAGCGCGUAGGCUGAUUAGUAAGUUAAAAGUGAAAUCCCAAAGCUUAACUUUGGAAUUGCUUUUUAAAACUGCUAGUCUAGAGAUUGAAAGAGGAUAGAGGAAUUCCUAGUGUAGAGGUGAAAUUCGUAAAUAUUAGGAGGAACACCAGUGGCGAAGGCGUCUAUCUGGUUCAAAUCUGACGCUGAGGCGCGAAGGGCGUGGGGAGCAAACAGGGAUUAGAUACC
Molecule: ribosomal RNA, 432 nt
Filed under: uncultured bacterium
Lineage: Bacteria
Description: bacterial SSU rRNA
Rfam family: Bacterial small subunit ribosomal RNA
Source: RNAcentral